This 465-nucleotide ribosomal RNA is filed under the name Vreelandella stevensii. RNAcentral describes it as "partial 16S ribosomal RNA". It matches the Rfam family "Bacterial small subunit ribosomal RNA", at positions 338 to 795 of the family's 1533-position model. The record is from RNAcentral. Lineage: Bacteria; Pseudomonadati; Pseudomonadota; Gammaproteobacteria; Oceanospirillales; Halomonadaceae.
CCUACGGGUGGCUGCAGUGGGGAAUAUUGGACAAUGGGCGAAAGCCUGAUCCAGCCAUGCCGCGUGUGUGAAGAAGGCCUUCGGGUUGUAAAACACUUUCAGUGGGGAAGAAAGCCUUGGGGCUAAUACCCUCGAGGAAGGACAUCACCCACAGAAGAAGCACCGGCUAACUCCGUGCCAGCAGCCGCGGUAAUACGGAGGGUGCGAGCGUUAAUCGGAAUUACUGGGCGUAAAGCGCGCGUAGGGGGUCUGAUAAGCCGGUUGGGAAAGCCCCGGGCUCAACCUGGGAACGGCAUCCGGAACUGUCAGGCUAGAGUGCAGGAGAGGAAGGUAGAAUUCCCGGUGUAGCGGUGAAAUGCGUAGAGAUCAGGAGGAAUACCAGUGGCGAAGGCGGCCUUCUGGACUGACACUGACGCUGAGGUGCGAAAGCGUGGGUAGCAAACAGGAUUAGAUACCCGAGUAGUC